CACUGAGAUUUUCACAGCUUAUAUCACUGCGCUUCCUGUGUUUGUGCGGCUGAGACAGACUGUCAUUCUGGGUAUUUUUCAGUGACAGUUUCUGCAGGUUACAUCAAUACACCAGAAGGGCUUGAUGAAUGGGCAGAUAAACAGCAGAUGGGCUUCAUCUGAUCACUCAAUACCUUGAUAUCCAAUCCUAAUGAAAGGGCCAACAAGGAGAGAGGCUGUUGUUCAGAAUGAAAACAAAGACUGCUUUAAGGAGGUUUUGCCCAAGACUUUCAAAAAUGAACACAGGCAUUGAUGAUGUCCGCAGCAUGCCAG
Molecule: long non-coding RNA, 312 nt
Organism: Cyprinus carpio carpio
Lineage: Eukaryota; Metazoa; Chordata; Actinopteri; Cypriniformes; Cyprinidae
Source: Ensembl